AGAAUCAACGCUGGCGGCGUGCCUCAGACAUGCAAGUCGAACGCGAAAGCCCCCUUCGGGGGGCAAGUAGAGUGGCGCGCGGGUGAGUAACACGUAGGUAAUCUACCUUCGGAUGGGGAAUAACAAUCGGAAACGGUUGCUAAUACCGCAUAAUGCAGCGGCACCUAAUGGUGACAGUUGUUAAAGCGGGGGAUCGAAAGACCUCGCGUCUGAAGAGGAGCCUGCGGCGGAUUAGCUAGUUGGUAAGGUAAUGGCUUACCAAGGCUACGAUCC
This 273-nucleotide ribosomal RNA is filed under the name uncultured soil bacterium. RNAcentral's name for it is "partial 16S ribosomal RNA". It matches the Rfam family "Bacterial small subunit ribosomal RNA", at positions 26 to 282 of the family's 1533-position model. The record is from RNAcentral.